GCGAUGAUCUUCUUGAUGCUGGACCGACACUUGUACUCCGUUCCAGUUGUUCUGAUUUGUUUGGAAUCAUUGGUGAUGAUAUGGAUUUUACUAUUAGCACGCACUGGCGAAUUUAAGCGGUUGACUAAUUAGUAAACUGAUGACUAUCAACGUGAUAGUGGUCGGUAAUGAUAUUGAUAGUGAUAACGAUGAUGAUGAUGAUGAUGAUGAUGACGAAGAUUGAUAGAAAGCUCUUUGUCUGGUUCUUCUACUCUCACUCUAUCACCCUGGGCGCUUAUUCCAGUACGAUGACAACGAGCAAAUGCGCCGUAGACUGUGAAAAAUAUAAAAAUAAAUUUUUUUUAAGGACAAUUACAAUGUCACCGGUACGGGAAAUUCUAGCUCUCCAGUUAUGUUUCUUCUCUAUUGAUCGCAAGUUUCCAGACGCGCAGAUGCACUAUGUACUGUACACUUAAAUGUGUACAGAGGAAUACCAGAAAAUAUACGAGGAUUUUUACUGGAUGCUCCAAAUUGCCAGGGGAUACACUAUUUAUUAUUUUCUUACAUUUCUUAAAUUAUCUUUACACUCUUUCUUCUCAACUUUACUCCGUUUAUUUAUUUCUAUAAAAUCCACCUCCAGACUCGCUCUCAGAUAAAUUGUCUACAUAUAUUUUAAAAAGUCUGUAGAAAAAAAAAGA
Microplitis demolitor is the source of this 677-nucleotide long non-coding RNA. RefSeq lists it as uncharacterized. The transcript is spliced from 4 exons. The record is from RefSeq and is a predicted model, not a curated record. Lineage: Eukaryota; Metazoa; Arthropoda; Insecta; Hymenoptera; Braconidae.